Long non-coding RNA from Oncorhynchus gorbuscha (pink salmon), 2057 nucleotides. RefSeq lists it as uncharacterized. The transcript is spliced from 4 exons. NCBI's taxonomy places the organism in Eukaryota, Metazoa, Chordata, Actinopteri, Salmoniformes, Salmonidae. The record is from RefSeq and is a predicted model, not a curated record.
UGGCUCCAUCUUUACUCUCCAUGUCCUUCAUUUAAAACCAGGUAGCUAUGGCCCCAUCUUUAUUCUCCAUGUCUUCAUUUAAAACCAGGUAGUUAUGGCUCCAUAAUACUCUCCAUGUCCUUCAUUUAAAACCAGGUAGCUAUGGCUCCAUAAUACUCUCCAUGUCCUUCAUUUAAAACCAGGUAGUUAUGGCUCCAUAAUACUCUCCAUGUCCUUCAUUUAAAACCAGGUAGUUAUGGCUCCAUAAUACUCUCCAUGUCCUUCAUUUAAAACCAGGUAGCUAUGGCUCCAUAAUACUCUCCAUGUCCUUCAUUUAAAACCAGGUAGCUAUGGCUCCAUAAUACUCUCCAUGUCCUUCAUUUAAAACCAGGUAGCUAUGGCUCCAUAAUACACUCCGUGUCCUUCAUUUAAAACCAGGUAGCUAUGGCUCCAUAAUACUCUCCAUGUCCUUCAUUUAAAACCAGGUAGUUAUGGCUCCAUAAUACUCUCCAUGUCCUUCAUUUAAAACCAGGUAGCUAUGGCUCCAUAAUACACUCCAUGUCCUUCAUUUAAAACCAGGUAGCUAUGGCUCCAUAAUACUCUCCAUGUCCUUCAUUUAAAACCAGGUAGUUAUGGCUCCAUAAUACUCUCCAUGUCCUUAAUUUAAAACCAGGUAGCUAUGGCUCCAUAAUACACUCCAUGUCCUUCAUUUAAAACCAGGUAGCUAUGGCUCCAUAAUACUCUCCAUGUCCUUCAUUUAAAACCAGGUAGUUAUGGCUCCAUAAUACUCUCCAUGUCCUUCAUUUAAAACCAGGUAGUUAUGGCUCCAUAAUACUCUCCAUGUCCUUCAUUUAAAACCAGGUAGCUAUGGCUCCAUAAUACUCUCCAUGUCCUUCAUUUAAAACCAGGUAGCUAUGGCUCCAUAAUACUCUCCAUGUCCUUCAUUUAAAACCAGGUAGCUAUGGCUCCAUAAUACUCUCCAUGUCCUUCAUUUAAAACCAGGUAGCUAUGGCUCCAUCUUUACUCUCCAUGUCCUUCAUUUAAAACCAGGUAGCUAUGGCUCCAUAAUACUCUCCAUGUCCUUCAUUUAAAACCAGGUAGCUAUGGCUCCAUAAUACUCUCCAUGUCCUUCAUUUAAAACCAGGUAGCUAUGGCUCCAUAAUACUCUCCAUGUCCUUCAUUUAAAACCAGGUAGCUAUGGCUCCAUAAUACUCUCCAUGUCCUUCAUUUAAAACCAGGUAGCUAUGGCUCCAUCUUUACUCUCCAUGCCCUUCAUUUAAAACCAGGUAGCUAUGGCUCCAUAAUACUCUCCAUGUCCUUCAUUUAAAACCAGGUAGAUAUGGCUCCAUAAUACUCUCCAUGUCCUUCAUUUAAAACCAGGUAGUUAUGGCUCCAUAAUACUCUCCAUGUCCUUCAUUUAAAACCAGGUAGCUAUGGCUCCAUCUUUACUCUCCAUGUCCUUCAUUUAAAACCAGGUAGCUAUGGCUCCAUAAUACUCUCCAUGUCCUUCAUUUAAAACCAGGUAGAUAUGGCUCCAUAAUACUCUCCAUGUCCUUCAUUUAAAACCAGGUAGCUAUGGCUCCAUCUUUACUCUCCAUGUCCUUCAUUUAGUAGUGUUUCAGUCAGUCAGUUAAGAACAAAUUACGCCUCAGCUGUCAUGGUGGAUCUUUGUAGAAUUGAACCUUGAUUUAUACAAAGUCGGGUGUUCUCUACUCUGACCAUUAGUCCACAGAUAAAGGAGAAACCAAGUUAGUUUUCUUUGAUUUAAUCUCUCCUCGUUCAUCUUUUAAUCACCCACGUGGGUUAGUAUGCUCGUGAAAACCAAUGAGUAAAUGGGAGAGGCGAAACUUGAAUAUAAUGGUCAUUUGAUGUUUAACUGGGCCUGGCAGACAGCAUGUGGUAAUGGAAAUGGUAUUUGACUCAGGGCUUCAUAUUAUAAUUACAAAAAGUACAAAAUGAUUUAUGUGUAUUUGGACCAAAAUGAUAGUGAAGAAAACAGGUACCAUUGUGUGUGAGGUUAGCUGUAUGGAACACAACAAAAACUCCAUGAACCACGCAUACACUCUUCGUCUCUCCUG